GUGCAGUGUGCGCUUUGUGCAGGUGUGUUUGGAUGUGGACGCAUCUGCUCUGCUGUGUGUGUGUGAUGCAGCACUGCAGCGACCUCUGACCUCUAUAGAUGGCGCUCUUCAUCCCAUCGGACACAGCGGCGCUACGAGCCUCAUGACAGCGCUGAGCGCACUCAUGCUAAUGACGCAGGAUCUGAUGGUCAGCGCCGGUCUGAACUGUCUCAGGUCUCUGAUGGGAUUUCUGCGCAGACGGAGCCCUGAAACCGCUGGUGUGUUUCAGCGGCGGCGUCUCACACUGGAGGACUGAAGUUGAGUCUGUGUGUGAAGAGAUUGAGAAACAAGGAGCGACGAACCUCACCGAUGACAGCACACACACACUGAGACUAAUGCUCACACAGUGUUGUGCUCUUUCUCCUCCUGAUGAUCUGAGGAUGAGGAUGGAGGCUAUACAAGAGUCACUAAGACAUCUUCCUCCCUCUGAGAGCUCAAGCAGACACAUGCUUCGGGUUGGACGGGUGUCUGUCUGUCUGUCUGACUUCACAAUCAGCACUCAGGACCUAUGAAACACAGCC
Molecule: long non-coding RNA, 560 nt
Filed under: Sinocyclocheilus anshuiensis
Lineage: Eukaryota; Metazoa; Chordata; Actinopteri; Cypriniformes; Cyprinidae
Description: lncRNA (ENSSANG00000024581.1)
Source: RNAcentral